RNAcentral lists this ribosomal RNA (158 nucleotides) under Armillaria fuscipes. RNAcentral's name for it is "5.8S ribosomal RNA". It matches the Rfam family "5.8S ribosomal RNA". From Rfam's summary of the family: 5.8S ribosomal RNA (5.8S rRNA) is a component of the large subunit of the eukaryotic ribosome. It is transcribed by RNA polymerase I as part of the 45S precursor that also contains 18S and 28S rRNA. Functionally, it is thought that 5.8S rRNA may be involved in ribosome translocation. The record is from RNAcentral. RNAcentral also lists the same sequence under 1 other name. Lineage: Eukaryota; Fungi; Basidiomycota; Agaricomycetes; Agaricales; Physalacriaceae.
CAACUUUCAACAACGGAUCUCUUGGCUCUCGCAUCGAUGAAGAACGCAGCGAAAUGCGAUAACUAAUGUGAAUUGCAGAAUUCAGUGAAUCAUCGAGUCUUUGAACGCACCUUGCACCCUUUGGUAUUCCUCAGGGUAUGCCUGUUUGAGUGUCAUUA